GGUUCCAUGGUGUAAUGGUUAGCACUCAAGACUCUGAAUCUUGCGAUCCGAGUUCAAUUCUCGGUGGGACCU
This 72-nucleotide transfer RNA is filed under the name Hydra vulgaris (swiftwater hydra). It matches the Rfam family "tRNA". From Rfam's summary of the family: Transfer RNA (tRNA) molecules are approximately 80 nucleotides in length. Their secondary structure includes four short double-helical elements and three loops (D, anti-codon, and T loops). Lineage: Eukaryota; Metazoa; Cnidaria; Hydrozoa; Anthoathecata; Hydridae. The record is from Rfam by way of RNAcentral.